RNAcentral lists this ribosomal RNA (1154 nucleotides) under Lotharella globosa. RNAcentral's name for it is "partial Bacterial large subunit ribosomal RNA". It matches the Rfam family "Bacterial large subunit ribosomal RNA", at positions 1632 to 2925 of the family's 2925-position model. The record is from RNAcentral. Lineage: Eukaryota; Cercozoa; Chlorarachniophyceae.
ACUUAACAAACCGUACCAAACCAACACAGGUGGGCAGAUCUAGUACAUUAAGGUGAUCGAGAUAACGGCACUUAAGGAACUCGGCAAAUUGACCCUGUAACUUCGGGAUGAGGGGGGCCUUGGUAACACAAGGCGUAUAAGACAAAGGAGGAGCAACUGUUUAUUAAAAACACAGGACCCUGCGAAAUGGAAACAUGACGUAUAGGGUCUGACGCCUGCCCGGUGCCAUUGGGCGAAAGCGAGGCGUAUACGCGCUUAGCAUAAGCCUCGGCAAACGGCGGCUGUAACUCUGACGGUCCUAAGGUAGCGAAAUUCCUUGGCGGGUAAGUUCCGUCCUGCACGAAUGGCGUAAUGACUUCUCCACUGUCUCAAGUGCCGGCUCGGUGAAAUUGAAUUCCUCGUGAAGAUGCGGGGGUCUCGCGGCUGGACGGAAAGACCCUGUGCACCUUUACUAUAACCUUGCGCUGCUCGGAUUGCGGGCUUGUUCAGCAUAGGCGGGAGCUUGUUUUUAAUAAGCACCAGUGAGAUACCGCCCUUGUUCUUUAUUCGGGCUUUUUGCAUGGUUGGUAGUUUGGCUGGGGUGGCCGCCUCCUAAAAGGUAACGGGGGCGCGCAACGGUGGGCUCAAUCCGAUAUUCGGAGUAAGAGCGCAAUGGUAAAAGCCCGCCUGACUGAAAGACUGACGGGUCGAUCAGGGACGCAAGUCGGCCAUAGUGACCCGACGAUGCUGCGCGGAAAGGUCGUCGAUCAACGGAUAAAAGGUACGCCAGGGAUAACAGGCUAAUAACCCCUAAGAGACCAAAUCGCCGGGGUUGUUUGGCACCUCGAUGUCGGCUCAUCGCAUCCUGGAGCUGUAGGCGGUUCCAAGGGUUCGGCUGUUCGCCGAUUAAAGCGGUACGUGAGCUGGGUUUAGAACGUUGUGAAACAGUUUGGUCCCUAUCUACCGCGAUUUGAAUUGCAGGUGGGCACCCUAGUACGGGAGGAUCGGGUGCCACUGGCCUAUUGUGACCGGUUGUUUUUGAUGUUUCUUUAGCAUUGCCGGGUAGCUACGCCGGUGGGGAUAACCGCUGAAAGCAUAUAAGCGGGAAGCCCCCCCUAAAACAUUCUUGGGAAGUAGCAGAAGACUACAUAGGCGUGAUCGUUUUAUCCUGAAAG